This 253-nucleotide ribosomal RNA is filed under the name uncultured bacterium. RNAcentral describes it as "partial 16S ribosomal RNA". It matches the Rfam family "Bacterial small subunit ribosomal RNA", at positions 524 to 776 of the family's 1533-position model. The record is from RNAcentral.
GACAGAGGGUGCAAACGUUGUUCGGAAUUACUGGGCGUAAAGCGCGUGUAGGCGGCUAAGCAAGUCGGGCGUGAAAUCCCAUGGCUCAACCAUGGAAGUGCACCCGAAACUGCAUAGCUAGAGUCCUGGAGAGGAAGGUGGAAUGCUUGGUGUAGAGGUGAAAUUCGUAGAUAUCAAGCGGAACACCGGUGGCGAAGGCGGCCUUCUGGACAGUGACUGACGCUGAGACGCGAAAGCGUGGGGAGCAAACAGG